AUGAUCUCUGCUCAGUUGGCCUAGAAAACCCCCAAAAUCAUACAAAGCAAGAGAUUCAAAUCUUCAUGUUUACUUUAAGAACACCCGUGGAAGUGCCCAGGCCAUCAAAGGUAUGCAUAUCCAAAUAGCCACCAAGUACUUGAAAGAUGUCACUUUAUAGAAGCAAUGUGUGUCAUUCCAUAUUAUUAUAGUGGAGUUGGUAUGUGUACCUAAGCCAAACAGACGGGCUGGGCACAGGAUGACAGGUGGCCCAAAAAGAGUGCUAAAUUUGUGCUGUACAUGCUUAAAAAGGCAAAGAGUAAUGCCGACCCUAAGGGUUUAGAUGCAGAUUCUCUGGUCAUUGAGCAUGUCCAGGUGAACAAAGCCCCAGGAUAUGUUGCUGUAUUUAUAGAGCUCAGGUCACAUUAACCCAUACAUAAACUCCCCUGCCACAUAUUGAAAUGAUCCUUACUGAAAAAGAGUAAAUUGUUCCUAAACCAGAAGAGAGGGUUGCAGGGAAGAAAAAGAUAUCCCAGAAGAAAUUGAAGAAAACAAAAAUUUAUAACCUGGGAAUAA
RNAcentral lists this long non-coding RNA (555 nucleotides) under Homo sapiens (human). RNAcentral describes it as "non-protein coding lnc-RASL10B-1:2". Lineage: Eukaryota; Metazoa; Chordata; Mammalia; Primates; Hominidae. The record is from RNAcentral.